Equus caballus (horse) is the source of this 3533-nucleotide long non-coding RNA. The record is from Ensembl. NCBI's taxonomy places the organism in Eukaryota, Metazoa, Chordata, Mammalia, Perissodactyla, Equidae.
AGGGAGGCUUGGAUUCAAUGACUGGUCAGUGCAGGGGUGCAAACGUUUGAACCCUUUGCUUUGAUUUGGGAGAGCUUUGAAGGGCCAGCCCAGCUCCAGAUAUCCCUGUGGGAUGGGCUGAGGCCUCUGUUGCAGCUGCAUCGCACUUCGACACCUCCCUCUGCCUGAUCCUGCUUCCCUCGCACUCUCAAAGAUGCUGUUAAGGAGAGUUCUCCCCACCAAACCUCCUGCCUGCAAAUCUCUGCCUUGGAGUUUGUUUCCUGGGGAAUUUGACCUAAGACACUGCAGAUGGCUCCUGGGAACUCUAUGAGGCUGGAAUGAUCAUAAUCUCCAUCUAACACAAGGGGAAACUGAGGCUCAGAGAAGUUAAGUGACUGACCAUAGUCACACACGAAGCAGCAGAAUCGGGUGUCAAAUGCAAGUCUACUUCCCAAAAGGAGCUUUGUCUGGUGCCUGUGGGGAAGAGGAACUCAGUGUCAUAUUUUGGUAACGUCAUCUUGGGAAUUAUACAAACCCUGGAAGAUUUGCCAUCAGCGAAGAACGCGGUUGCCACAGUGAUGAUUCUCUUCGUUCCCAGCUCCCCAAGGACACAGCCCACCUACCACGACCCUGCUUGCUGGCUGCCAGGGUCUCUGCUUCCCUGCUCACCGCCCCCGUGAGGUCCUCCAGCUCCAGCCUGAAACAAAGCCCCAGGGCAGACCUGGCUCAGCUGUAGACACCGGCUCUGGCUACAGAGACCGUGACCUAAUUUCCAGUUUUCUAACUGGCCCUGCUAUGGAGGCGAGGUAUCCCAAGGCUCUGUAGUGGCCGGGAUCUGGUAGGCACUCAAGAAACAUGUGUUGACCGAAUGCAUGUGUGAAUGCCCUCGAAGCCAAGGAAUAGGCUGGCCACCCUGCGGAGGGACAGACUCCAGGUCUCCGUCCGGCUGCGGCUGCCUCCCGUGCUGUGUCCAGCUGGACACAGGCUGGUCUCCUCUUCCUCCAGCCCCACCCGGGACCGAGCAAGCAGCCUCUGGGGAUCCUUCUUCUCAGCCUCGGCAGGGUCCGUUCCCAGCUCCAGGGCAUCCUUGGAAAGCAUGCACUUGGUACCUCGCUCCUGGCAGCCAAGAAGUGGAAGAGCCCAGCUCCAGCUGCUGGCUCCUCGAGGCCUUUGUCCACCUCAUCUGCCCAGCAAUGGUCUCUGUCCCAGCCAGGCUGCCUCUGGGGAACCUCUCAGAAACUUCUCAGGAGAGGCCCAGCCUCAGAGCGGGUGUGACAAGGUCUUGCUCCGGCCUCCUGCUCAGCGAUCAUCUGUAUCUUCCUUCUGAGCAUGGUCACACUGCCUCCUCCCGACGGGGGGAAGGACAGAGGGGUUUCCCCACUUACGCCUGUCCAUUUUGGGGAGGGCUUUUGAUGGUCAGGCUGGGCCCUCCACACCCUGGGAGCGUGGAUCAGGGACCCUGGAGCUCUCCUACAUCCUGCGCCAUCCUGAGGGUUCCCAACAGGCUUCCCCGCCUUAGCAGAUCCAAACCCCUCUCCUUCACCCCACCUCGUCCCACCUGCCUUGGUGAAUGGCUCCCCUAACUGCCUAGCGGCUCAGCUCUAGAACCCUGGAGUAGUUCUUGCUGCCUCUCUCUCACACCCACACCGUCUCAAGAAAUUCUGUCGGCUCUGACUUUAAAGAAUAACCAGAAGCCAGAAACUUCUUCCCAUCCCCACCGCCCUGCCCUGGUCAGAGCCACCAUCGAGUCUUGUGUGGAGGGUAGCUGUGGCCCCCUAAAUGGUCUCCCUGAUGACACCCUUGCCCCUGCCAGUUUAUUGUUUACCAGCAGCCCGAGGGGUCCUGCUAAAACCAUAGUCGGUCAUGUCCCUUCUCAGCUCACAGCCCUGCCAGGUCCCUCCGCAGCCCAUAGUCCCACACAAUCUGCUCCGCUGCUACUCUCUGAACUCCUCCUUUGUUCUACCCUCCCGCUCCCGCCCGCCAGCCACACUGGCUAUCCCUUGAAAUCAACUAGUAUGCUCCUGCCUCAGGGCCUUUGCUCUUGUUGUGUCCUCAGCCUGGAAUGCUCUUCCUCUAGAUAGCUGCAUGGCUCACUCCUUCCUUCAGGUCUCUGCUCAGAUGUCACCUCCUCAGACAGAAUUUUCUCGACCACCCUCUGUCGAUGUUCCCCACCCCAUCCCUCUCAAGCCUCUUGAGAGGUUGGUGCUCUUGAGAACAUCAUGCUUAAAGCAGGCUGGGGCGCUUCUCCUGUGGGCUGGGCAUCUGGUUGGGAGGUUUUCAAGUGUUAAUUCAGCCUCAUAACAGCAGCACGAGGCAGCUCUCACGAUCACGUUUCCAGACAAGGAAACUGGGGCUGAGAGAGACUAACAGACGUUUUUAAGCUUUAUUGAGACAUAAGUCACAUACUAUAAAAUCCACCUAUUUAAAAUAUCAAUGUUUUUUAGUAUAGUCACAGAGUUGUGCAACCCUCACCACAAUCAAUUUUGGAAGGUUUCCAUUACCCCAGAAGAGUAUCCGUUAGCAGUUGCUCCCCACUCUACCGUCAAUCUGCCUUCUGUCUCUCAGGAUUGGCUUGUGCUUCACAUUUCUUGGAAACGGGAUUGUGCAAUAUGUGGUAUUGUGUGACUGGCUUAUUUUGUGCUAGAUUUUACAACUCCGCGAUGUUAUUAAAUAACCAAUGGUUAAACUACACACUUUCAAAUGUGUUAGAAAGGAACAACAGUAGAUAUUUGUUAGACAGUCCGUGAGACAGGAUGAUGGGGAAGAAGAAAGACGGUGGGUCUGGAAGAGAUGUCUGUACAUCCACGUUCACAGCAUCCUUAUUCACGACAGCUCAAACGCAGGCACAGCCCAAGCAUCCUUGGAUGGAUGAGAGGGUGAGCAAAUGUGGUCUAUACAUGCAAUGGAAUAUUAUUCAGUCUUAAAAAGUAAGGACAUUCUGACACAUGGGACAAGGUGAAUGAACCUUGAGGACAGUAUGCUAAGUGAAAUAAGCCAAUCAAAAAAGAAAAAAUACAGUAUGAUUUCACUUAUCUGAGGUACCCCGAGAAGUCAAAUUCAUAGAGACAGAAAGUAGACUGGUGGUUGCUGGGGGCUGAGGCGGGGGACAAGGAGAGUUAUUGCUUGGUGGGGACAGAGUUUCAGUUUUGCAAGAUGAAGCGUUCUGGAGGUGGGCGGUGCUGCUGGUUGCACAUUAUGAAUGUAUUUGAUACCACUGAACUGUACAGUUAAAAAUGGUUACAAUGGUAAAUUUUAUGUUAUGUGUAUUUUACCACAAUAAAAAAAUUGGGAAAAAGAAAAGAAAGGCCCUGGGCUAGGAGUCACAGGGCUUGAGUUCUUGUCCUGAUUCUGCCUUUCACUGUGUGACUGUGUGCAAGACAGCAACCUCUCUGGGGAUGCUAACAGGUUUGUCCAAGUCACACAGCGACUGAGGGAAAGUGACUACAGUGGCCGCGCUUCAGGGCAACUCCCAGGGCGGGCCUUCAGCAGAGGAGUCUGUCCCAGCCGUGGCCCUGGGUUCCUGCUUGCCAUCCGCCCCAGCGUCUCUCUGGUCU